Molecule: RNA transcript, 655 nt
Organism: Olea europaea var. sylvestris
Lineage: Eukaryota; Viridiplantae; Streptophyta; Magnoliopsida; Lamiales; Oleaceae
Exons: 3
Source: RefSeq, a predicted model, not a curated record
AUGAUGGAAACAAAUCAUACUAAUAGUAAUGUCCUCUCCCCGCAUACGACUCAGAUAUCAUUCCAAUGUGGAGCUCCAGAGGAUACUGGAAGUGGUAACAUAAGGGAUCCAGAAUGUGUGAAAAGAAAAGGUGCCCCAAAGAAACUUCGGAAGAAGAGCCCAUUGGAAACCAUUUCGAGCAAAGUUAAGUACGGGUUCUACCAAACGGAAGAAAACGAAGGUUCCUAGAAGUGAUAUGGGAAUGGUUUCAGUGCCCAUUCUCCAGUCGCCUCAACAACUACACAUGCCGCUACCGUUCUCCUAUACGAACCUCCUUUUGGUUAGCAUUUGUUAAUGAUUUGACUUCAAUGAUAAUGUAGUAUUUACUGAUAAUGCUAUUUCACGCAGGGUGGGAACCAAAAUCUUCAGUUCACACAUCACUUGCAAUCCACGUGUCUAAACCCUUCAUUGGCAACAACUCCUACAUUAAAUAUGCAAGGUUUGGGAAUGCAUUUUGAUGGAGGAAACACGGAUGCACCUACGGAGGAACCAUGAUGAAAUAACUGGUCCUUACAAGGACGACCCAUCACCUACUUCUUUUGUCCCUGGUGCAGCAUAUCAUGUUCUCCUUGAAGCUUUUGGAAGAAAGGGUUAUCUUGCUGGAACCCCAGAUGAA